Molecule: ribosomal RNA, 496 nt
Filed under: uncultured bacterium
Lineage: Bacteria
Description: partial 16S ribosomal RNA
Rfam family: Bacterial small subunit ribosomal RNA
Source: RNAcentral
AUGAACGCUGGCGGCGUGCCUAAUACAUGCAAGUCGAGCGAACAGACGAGGAGCUUGCUCCUCUGACGUUAGCGGCGGACGGGUGAGUAACGCGUGGAUAACCUACCUAUAAGACUGGGAUAACUUCGGGAAACCGGAGCUAAUACCGGAUAAUAUAUUGAACCGCAUGGUUCAAUAGUGAAAGACGGUUUUGCUGUCACUUAUAGAUGGAUCCGCGCCGCAUUAGCUAGUUGGUAAGGUAACGGCUUACCAAGGCAACGAUGCGUAGCCGACCUGAGAGGGUGAUCGGCCACACUGGAACUGAGACACGGUCCAGACUCCUACGGGAGGCAGCAGUAGGGAAUCUUCCGCAAUGGGCGAAAGCUUGACGGAGCAACGCCGCGUGAGUGAUGAAGGUCUUCGGAUCGUAAAACUCUGUUAUUAGGGAAGAACAAAUGUGUAAGUAACUAUGCACGUCUUGACGGUACCUAAUCAGAAAGCCACGGCUAACUACGUG